This 353-nucleotide ribosomal RNA is filed under the name uncultured Streptococcus sp. RNAcentral describes it as "bacterial SSU rRNA". It matches the Rfam family "Bacterial small subunit ribosomal RNA", at positions 1028 to 1382 of the family's 1533-position model. Lineage: Bacteria; Bacillati; Bacillota; Bacilli; Lactobacillales; Streptococcaceae. The record is from RNAcentral.
UCGGUGACAGGUGGUGCAUGGUUGUCGUCAGCUCGUGUCGUGAGAUGUUGGGUUAAGUCCCGCAACGAGCGCAACCCCUAUUGUUAGUUGCCAUCAUUCAGUUGGGCACUCUAGCGAGACUGCCGGUAAUAAACCGGAGGAAGGUGGGGAUGACGUCAAAUCAUCAUGCCCCUUAUGGCCUGGGCUACACACGUGCUACAAUGGUUGGUACAACGAGUUGCGAGUCGGUGACGGCGAGCUAAUCUCUUAAAGCCAAUCUCAGUUCGGAUUGUAGGCUGCAACUCGCCUACAUGAAGUCGGAAUCGCUAGUAAUCGCGGAUCAGCACGCCGCGGUGAAUACGUUCCCGGGCCUU